RNAcentral lists this ribosomal RNA (503 nucleotides) under uncultured bacterium. RNAcentral describes it as "partial 16S ribosomal RNA". It matches the Rfam family "Bacterial small subunit ribosomal RNA", at positions 30 to 523 of the family's 1533-position model. The record is from RNAcentral.
AUUGAACGCUGGCGGCAGGCUUAACACAUGCAAGUCGAGCGGGGUGAUGGUGCUUGCACUAUCACUUAGCGGCGGACGGGUGAGUAAUGCUUAGGAAUCUGCCUAUUAGUGGGGGACAACAUCUCGAAAGGGAUGCUAAUACCGCAUACGUCCUACGGGAGAAAGCAGGGGGUCACUUGUGACCUUGCGCUAAUAGAUGAGCCUAAGUCGGAUUAGCUAGUUGGUGGGGUAAAGGCCUACCAAGGCGACGAUCUGUAGCGGGUCUGAGAGGAUGAUCCGCCACACUGGGACUGAGACACGGCCCAGACUCCUACGGGAGGCAGCAGUGGGAAAUAUUGGACAAUGGGGGGAACCCUGAUCCAGCCAUGCCGCGUGUGUGAAGAAGGCCUUAUGGUUGUAAAGCACUUUAAGCGAGGAGGAGGCUUACCUAGUUAAUACCUGGGAUAAGUGGACGUUACUCGCAGAAUAAGCACCGGCUAACUCUGUGCCAGCAGCCGCAGUAA